UGGGUAACCUGCCUCAAAGAGGGGAAUAGCCUCCCGAAAGGGAGAUUAAUACCGCAUAAUAUGUUUAAGUCGCAUGACUUUAACAUCAAAGGAUUUUCUUUUAGAAAUUCCACUUUGAGAUGGACCCGCGGCGCAUUAGCUAGUUGGUGAGGUAACGGCUCACCAAGGCAACGAUGUGUAGCCGACCUGAGAGGGUGAUCGGCCACAUUGGAACUGAGACACGGUCCAGCU
This 231-nucleotide ribosomal RNA is filed under the name uncultured bacterium. Its description in RNAcentral is "partial 16S ribosomal RNA". It matches the Rfam family "Bacterial small subunit ribosomal RNA", at positions 118 to 336 of the family's 1533-position model. The record is from RNAcentral.